Molecule: long non-coding RNA, 7581 nt
Filed under: Sarcophilus harrisii (Tasmanian devil)
Lineage: Eukaryota; Metazoa; Chordata; Mammalia; Dasyuromorphia; Dasyuridae
Description: lncRNA (ENSSHAG00000023756.1)
Source: RNAcentral
GGCAUGAAGAGUUGGACAUGAUUGAGCUGACUGAAUAACAACAACAAAGAAAAAGAAGCUUGUGGAAAGGGCAGAAUUUUAAUAGUUCUAAGUUUAAUUUCAAGGUCUUUACUUCAAAUCAUUUUAGUGCUGAGGAUUUCUUUUGUUGUUAAUAAUAGUUUUAUUUUCAAAACACAUGCAAAAAGUUUUCAACAUUCACCCUUGCAAAACCUUGUAUUCCAAGCUUUUCUCCCUCCUUUUCCCCAAUCCCCUCCCCUAGACAGCAAGCAAUCCAAUAUAAGUUAAACAUGUACAAUUCUUCUAUACAUAUUUCCACAUAUAUCAUGCCGCACGAGAAAAAUCAGAUCAAAAAAAAAAGAGAGAAAGAAAAAAGCAAGCAAACAACAACAAAAAAGGUGCAAAUAUAUGUUGUAAUCCAUAUUCAGUCCUGACAAUUUUCCUUCUGAAUGGAGAUGGCUCUCCAUCACAACUUGAGGAUUCCUUUUUUUUUUUUUUUUUUUUUAAUAUUUUACUUUCUUUUUUAUUUUCAGAAUACAUACAAGAUAGUUUUCAACAUUCACCCUUACAAAACCUUUUGUUCCAAAUUUUCUCCCUCCCUCCUCUCCACCCCCUCCCCCUAAACAGCAAGUAAGAGAAUUUCUUUUUUUAAUGACAACAGUACCAUCCAGACCACAAUAGUCACGUUCUACCAUUGCAUGGGUGUGAAGUACUCUCUCAGUUUUCAAGUGGGUUAAAGUUGCUUUUUGUUUGUUUGUUUUUUAAUAGUCUAAAGAACUUGAGGGAUUCAGCCUGGUAUCCUGUAAACUCCCAGACAUAAUACAGAAGUGAUGUUCAGUUUACAGAUGUCUGGAAAGCAGCAUGUGGUUGUGAGAACUCCUACUCAACUAGGAAUUGAGAUAUUUGGACUCUAGUCCAUGCCUAGUCAAUGACUAGCUGUAAGACCUUAGUUCAGUCCUUCACUUUCCUUAGGGACUGAAUUAAGAUAGUCUUCAAGCUUUAAAGAUAGUCUUUAGGGUUUAAAAUGCUAUGAUACCAGCUGCAGGCUUAGGAGAUUCAAAGAAUGAAUUGUUUUUUAGAUUAUGUAUAAAGUCAAGUCCAGAAUAGAACCAAAUAUAGUGUUUGGACAUUGGGGUAAAGAUUAAAAUACAUUAUUUCAUAAAUAUUUUUUAACCUAAUAAAAGUUUUUUUUUUUAAAUUCACACGUGCUUCCUAUCUCAUUUUUUUUUUCAUUUUUUUAAACUCAAAAAUUUGGUUUUAUUAUCAACUGUGUUGUAUUUUAAGCCUUGAGUUAAGAUUGAAAAUAAAAUGUCCAGAGAGCAGUUGGAUCAGCCUGUUCCCUGAUGUUCACUGGCUGAAGGCCUCAUGGGAGGUCAGUGGUGGAAAUCACUAGAUUUUUGAUGUAAUCUUGAAUUUGGACCCUAUGUUUGGCUGUUAGCAAUAAAAAUGAGUCCUCUUGAAGAUAUCUUAGGGUACCUCUGAUAAGCAAGGCUUUCUGCUGAGCUUGGUUGUGGGGUAGGUAAGUCAAGCACCAUGUAAACAUUAAGAUGAAAGCUUUUAAUGUGCCAAUUGGGUGAUCAUAUGGGAAAGAAAAAAAAAAAAGACAUUCUUAAAGUUGAAAAGAAGAGCAGGAGGCUCUUGCUGCUGUUCUAUGUUGGAAGAUAGCAUGGAGGUUGCUAUUCCACAGUGUCAUAUUAAUUUCAAGACAAAAUGUCACAGAGAGGAGGAGACAAAGUCAGCUUCUAAUUUCAGUAUGAAAUCAUUUCAGAGGGAGCUCCAAAAAGAUUUAGGUCUAUGGAUCAUAGACCUUAAGUUGGAAGUUGCUCUUUAGAAGUCAUGUAAGUCCAAUCCCUUCAAACUACUGAUAAGGAAACUGGGGCCCAAGGAGGUUAAGAGACAACACAGUUAGUUAUCCCAAAGGUAGGACUGAAGCUGAGGCCUCUGACUGGAGCUAGUUCUGUGCUUUCUGCAUCAAGGUAGAGAUCUUUCCUUUGGUUUUUAGAAUAAAUAGGCAGAUGCUCCUCCUAUUGGUUCUGGUUUCUGGUUCUAGCUGUGUGAUGUUGGGAAAGUCACUUCACUUUUCAUAGAUGUGAGUUUUCCUUAUCUCUACAAGGAAAGGUUUGGAUUAAUGAGCCUCCAGAUCUCGUCAAAGUCUGAAGUGUCUUGGUGACCUUAAGUUCAGGUGUAGAUAGAAGCAGAGGUACAAUGAGCUAAGGUUUUGCCUUCUCUCCAAUCCUUAUUUCAGUCCUCUAGCUCCUCUUAAAGCUGGUGUGGGCAUCAACAGGAAAUAAACAGGAGUCAUUUUUUUGAUUCAUGGCCCUAGCACUUAACACAGUGCCUGGCAAGUAGUCAGUACUUAAUACAUGCUCAUUUAUUCAUCCAUAUUUUGGAAGGACUAAAAAAUUUACAAAUGGAUCAUCAUACCAUAGGGCCUAAAGUCGGAUUGUUCAUGAAUAGGCAGCUGAUUUAAAUGGGUUUAGGUGGUCUGUCUGCUCAUGGUAAGCAUUUAGAAACCAAUCAAAAUAGUUACAGCAUUAAAUAGGUUUCAUAUCAAAGGAAUCAGAGAUGAGAAGCCUGUUAUGGUGAGCUUGUCUGUGAGAUAAGUUUUAUCUCAUUACUUUUCCAACUUUCUAACAAACUCAAUUGGAUUCUGGGUAGCUGUAAAUGACAUCACCUUGUUCUCUUUCUCCCACCCACUCUAGGCUUCCCAAUUUGGCCAUGAGAAUGAACACUUGCUUUUCAACUGCAGAGCGAGUUAAACUGAAAGGAAAAUCAGUUGCUUUGAAGUUUGUGGCUCUCUCCAAUUAAUGUAAAAGGCAAUGGAGGUAGAGAGGUCUAGGUGGAAUUGAGAAAUGGGGGUGGAAAGGUGGGAACACUGCCACCCCCCAAAAAACAAAACAAAGCACUGGUUAGAGUCAGAAAACUUGAGUUUUUAUCCUGACUGUGUCACAAACGAGGCAAGUCAUUUAGUACAUUCUGGGCUUAACUGAUAUUCUGUUAAAGGAAGGAACUGAACCAAAGUCUCUUUCCAGUUUUCCAAGCUUUUGUGAUUCUUUGAUCUUCCUAUGGAUGAUUAUCUUUCCUUGGGUCCUUCACAAUUAGCUGAAGUCUAUAGAAGCCUUUCUGACUAAUGAUUUCAGAUGUAUUAAUAAAAAAAUACAGAAAAUUACAAAGGAAACCAAAAAUGAGUUAAAGAAAGAUGGAAGUCGUUUUUUAGCCCUUCAUCCAAGUUCACGGAGCCCUGCUACUGAUCCUCUGGUCUCUCGCCAUGCAACAGCCACAAAAAGUAUUUCUAAUUCUGAGGAACCAUGGCAUCCUUAAAUCAAUGCAGAAUUAUCUUGCCUCUCUGAACUAUGGGAGAGGGAGCUCCAAGAUCUUGCAGUCCUGACACUGGGAUGGUAGUAUCUAUGUCAGAGGGAUGGUACAUUAAUACUUUUUGAUGAUGACUGUCAAGUCCCUACUAGACAGCUGGAUGGCACAGUAGAUAAAGCAAUGGAUCUGGAAUCAGGGAUAGCUGAGUUCAAAUCUAGUCUAGCCUCAUUUUCUUCAACCAAUAUCUUUACGAUUAAGGAUCAAAUUGAGAUGUUUGUACAGUUUAACAGAGUGUCUGGCACAAGUAGAUGCUUAUUGAUGCUUGUUCCAUUUCCCUUCUCUGCAGAUUUGACAGCCAAAGAGCAAAUACUAUUAAGAUAGUCUGAGUUUUUCUGAUCAAGUGUUUAAUAAACUGCCCCCAAGAGCAGUCAAGCAAGAGGAAAAGAGGGUUCUCAGAACCACAGGCAACAGAAUGUUUAAAGCCAAGUGAACAAGUGAAAACACAGAUGUAAGAGGCAAGGAAGAUGGGGGAUAUAAAUCCAGUUUGGAGUGACUGAUUUGAGUUUAAAAAAAUGAAUUUGGCUUUCCUUAAUCUAGGCCUGGCUGAGCUAUAAGGCAGGUGCAUCAAGCUACCCUGGGAAAAGAUGUAGAACCUUUUGACAUAGCUGAUAAGUUUCUGUUCCCUGUUUAAAAAAAAAAUAAAAAAAGGGAGGGGGGAGAGUUAGUAGUAGUAGUAAAUGGUGUGCAUUACAGGAGCCUAAAAGAAAAGUAAAACCCCAAAGCUAAAGUAACUUUGAAGACUCUUAAAAAUAUUUGUUGGUGAAAGUUGAUGCUAUUAACUCAGCAAUAGUUAACUCCCUUCUGCCAGAUCCUACCUAGGAAGAAAUGGAAAAUUCAGCAUGCAUUUCUUUCCUGCCCCUUCCCUCUGCAACAGCUGGAGAUCCUGGAUGAAGAUUACUAAGGGUGGGUUGUCUUAUCCCCAGGGAUGCUGCAUACCUUCCCUCAGCUUGGUCCAAAGCAGGGAGAGGAGGUGGGGAACAGGGGCAAAGGGUUUUCUCUUUGCACGGGCUGGUUCUCUCCUUAAUGCAGGCCUCUGGGUGGCCUUGUUGCUCCUGAGUCACUCAGAAGUACUGUUAAAAUGAGCAAAAACCAGCUGUGCUGGCUUCCCAAUUGGAGGAACUGAGAAAGUUGCUGUGCAACAAGAGAAAUGAGUGUGGGGACCAGUCCCAACUGCUGCAUGUGUGCUCUCUCCCAAUUCAAAUAAGGAGACAAGCAGAGGGGAGAUAAGGAUAAAAUAAAAGAGCCAAAAAAAGCAGAGAACCACAAAACAGCAGCAGAAAAAUGGUUAGGGAAGAGACCUGCUGCUCUGUAUUGGCUUUUGGGACCAAGUCAAUGCAUUAGCAGCAUCUGCAGCUGGAAAGCUAGUCAGGGAGGGCUGAGAACUCUGGCUUGGAACCCAGGGAAGCCCGAUUUCUAGUUCCAACUCUGAUCUGUUGUGUGACUUAGGACACAUUACCCUUGUCUCCAUCCUCAGUCUCCUCAUCUGUAAAACAAGGGGAUUAAAUUACCUUUCAGUUCUGAAUGUCCUAAAUGAAUGCCAAGACUUAGAGGACUAAAUGGAAGAAGCUUCCUGUCAGCAUCACCACAGGCUGAGGGCCCACACGGUCUGCAAGGCAACUGUUUUAAAUGUCCACUUUGGAGGGAAUUAAACAGAAUGAGAGACCUGGGGGCCAGAGAUUAAUUUUGGUUUGGCCCGCUGCCUCCUCCCUUCCAAAAAGUCUCUCUUUGCAGCUGGUCAUUGAGGGUCGAAAACAAUGCUGAGAAUCUCCGGCCAGGACUGUGGUAUGGAUGGGUUUCUAUUUUUAAGGAGACAUCAGCUCGAACAAUAGAGCAACUGCAGCCUGAGUGGUCCGAGGCCCCAGAGCUUGACCUCCUGUGGCAUUCUGGAAAGUCUCAAAAGCCAGAUUGCAGGAGAUGUCAAAGGAAAGAAAUUGGUUCAGACAAUCUAAGAGCCUGGGACCAGGUGACUUCACUAGUCUUGUGGCCAUCUUUGUCUAAAAGCCCUUAAUAAACAACUAUAUUUGCAUAUAUAGCUAUUAAGUGAAUAAACUUGACCCUCACUACCAAGAAUUUAUAUUAGCUGACAAAAGGAAAGACAUUAGCCCAAGAGGCAUUUGCUGCAGUCUCUAUGGUUAAUCAGGGGAGGCUUCACCAAGUUCAGUGUUUAGGAGCUGCUUGAAUAUUUUUUUGUUGUUCUGUCAUGUCUAACUCUAAAUGACCCAAUUUGUUUUUGUUUUGUCUUUUCCUGGCAAAGAUACUAGAGUAGUUUGCCACUUCCUUCUCCAGCUCAUCUUACAGAUGAGGAAACUGAGGCAAACAGGAUGAAGUGACUUGUCCAUAGUCAUACAUGUGUCUGAUGCUGAAUUUAAACUCCUGACUCAAAGGAUGGCUCUCUAUCCACUGCACCAUGUACAAAGAUGUAUAAAGCUUGAUCUAGUUAGAACAAUGAUGAUAGCUCCCUUCCUUUAAGGUGGAAUGACAUUUUGGGGCAAGUGGAGGCAGAAGACUUGAGUUCAGUCCCCACCUCAUUCACUCACUAUCUUUGUGUGACCCUAGAUAAAGAUCUUAAUUGAACCUCAGUUUCCUCAUCUAUAAAAUGGGGUUCAUUAACAGUAUCUAUCUCACAAGGAUAUUAGGAGGAUCAAAUGAGAUAAAUGAAAAAAGAUAUUCUACAAAAGGUGCCAGAUAAAUGCCAGCUAUUAUGAUCAUCAUGAACAGAUUUGAGCAAUGCUAGUUAAUUUACAUUCUGUGUUCCCCAAAGUAAAAAGUUCACAAAAGAUCCUUUAUCUAGGAUUGAGUUAAAUAAACAUCUACAGUGGUUCAGUACCCAUAAGUGGGUGGUCAUGGAGGAGAUGGGGACUGACUGCCAGGUGGAAAAUGGGACUCACCUACAUAUUUGCUAUUUACAUUUAGUUAUCUUUCAUAAUAUUAACAAUUUCCCCCCCAUUUAUCCUAAAGACAGUUUGUUGGAAUUAUGUGUUUGCUUAAUGUCUCCCUCUGUUAGGUUGUGAGAUUCUUGAGGGCAGGGACUGCCUUUUGCCUCUUUCUGUAUUUCCAAGGCUUAGUGUAGUGCCCAGCAUAUAGUGGUGCUUAGUAUUUACUGUAACAACAAUUUCAAGUUGUGAAAUUUAAUAUAGUAUCUGGCACAAAGUAAGGGCUUUAUAACUGUUUGGUGAUUGAUUAGUGAGUUUCUCUAAAGCUAAAUUGGUCCCUAGACAGCACAAAUGUCAAUAAUUAAGUCCAUCAAUGAAGCAUUUUCCUAAUAAACUUCUAUUUACUCUUCACAUUUACCCUGCAUAUAUUUAUACACAUUCUUGUGUCUCCCAUUAGAAUGUAAGCAUCUUGAUAAGAGGGACUAUUGGGGCAGUUCGGUGGUGCAGGAGAUGGCACCAGUCCUGAAGUCAGGAGGACCUGAGUUCAAAUCUGACCUCAGACACUUAACACUUCCUAGCUGUGUGACCCUGGGCAAGUCAUUUAACCCCAAGUGCCUUGGCAACAAAAAAACCAACCAAACCAAAAAAAAAAAUCCAAUAACAAAAAGAAUAGGAACUAAUUCACCCUUUGUAUCUCUAUCUGCAUCACCUUGCUGGAGUAGACCAUCACAUAAAAACAGGUGAGUGAUUAAGAACACAUUUGUGUAGAGGAAAAAACUCUCAGGAAGGAGGAAAUUCCAAAAGGAAGCACGGAGGUUGGAAGCAGAACAAAUACUUGAAAGGUGAGAACUAUUUUGGGUCUCCUAGGGAUUGCAGAUAAAGAAAUGGAAACUGAGUUAAUGUGUUACCAGAUAUAUAAUAAAGCAGCUGCCUCUAUAAGGCACUGAGACUAGACAGGACCUCAUAGCUCUCUUUGGAGCCUCAUAAAACAAGAAAAUAUUCAAGUGCAUUUUUCCUCUUCUCCAGACUGGGAGCCAAGAGAUUAAGAGAGUCUCUCUAUUAUAUAUGGACACCUGUCCUGGAAAAAUGAGAGUGAGCUAGACUCACUUCGUAUAUCACUAUGCUGCCAUCUGAGACAACCCACUCAAAGUGGUACAGCUUUAAAAAAAAAAAAAAAAAAAUCAAGCAUUUACAUCAUUGUGGCAAAGUAGUUCAAGGCACUUCCCAGAUCUUAAAACACCUCCCUUCCCCCAAUCUCCAUCUUGAACUAUACAGUUAAGAUAAACCAAAUAAUUGUUCAAAAGUACCUAUCCAGCCAGAACUUGUAACUGUGUCAGAC